This 473-nucleotide ribosomal RNA is filed under the name uncultured bacterium. Its description in RNAcentral is "partial 16S ribosomal RNA". It matches the Rfam family "Bacterial small subunit ribosomal RNA", at positions 355 to 818 of the family's 1533-position model. The record is from RNAcentral.
UAGGGAAUCUUCCACAAUGGACGCAAGUCUGAUGGAGCAACGCCGCGUGAGUGAAGAAGGUCUUCGGAUCGUAAAGCUCUGUUGUUGGUGAAGAAGGAUAGAGGCAGUAACUGGUCUUUAUUUGACGGUAAUCAACCAGAAAGUCACGGCUAACUACGUGCCAGCAGCCGCGGUAAUACGUAGGUGGCAAGCGUUGUCCGGAUUUAUUGGGCGUAAAGCGAGCGCAGGCGGAAUGAUAAGUCUGAUGUGAAAGCCCACGGCUCAACCGUGGAACUGCAUCGGAAAACUGUCAUUCUUGAGUGCAGAAGAGGAGAGUGGAACUCCAUGUGUAGCGGUGGAAUGCGUAGAUAUAUGGAAGAACACCAGUGGCGAAGGCGGCUCUCUGGUCUGCAACUGACGCUGAGGCUCGAAAGCAUGGGUAGCGAACAGGAUUAGAUACCCUGGUAGUCCAUGCCGUAAAACGAUGAGCGCUA